AUGUAGCAGUUGUACAUUCUGUUCCUCGGCGCCGUCCGCACCCACCUGACGACCGUUAGCCACGUUUUGCUAGCC
This 75-nucleotide small RNA is filed under the name Xanthomonas floridensis. Its description in RNAcentral is "sX9 sRNA". It matches the Rfam family "Xanthomonas sRNA sX9". Lineage: Bacteria; Pseudomonadati; Pseudomonadota; Gammaproteobacteria; Lysobacterales; Lysobacteraceae. The record is from RNAcentral.